GCCGAGGUGGUGAAAUUGGUAGACACGCUAGUCUUAGGAACUAGUGCCUCGUGCGUGCGAGUUCGAGUCUCGCCCUCGGCA
This 81-nucleotide transfer RNA is filed under the name Aridibacter sp. Its description in RNAcentral is "tRNA-Leu". It matches the Rfam family "tRNA". Rfam says of the family: Transfer RNA (tRNA) molecules are approximately 80 nucleotides in length. Their secondary structure includes four short double-helical elements and three loops (D, anti-codon, and T loops). Lineage: Bacteria; Pseudomonadati; Acidobacteriota; Blastocatellia; Blastocatellales; Blastocatellaceae. The record is from RNAcentral. RNAcentral also lists the same sequence under 1 other name.